UGACGUCAAAUCAUCAUGCCCCUUAUGUUCUGGGCUACACACGUGCUACAAUGGCCGGUACAGACGGGCGCAAAGCCGCGAGGUGGAGCAAAUCCUAAAAAGCCGGUACUCAGUUCGGAUUGCAGGCUGCAAUUCGCCUGCAUGAAGUCGGAAUCGCUAGUAAUCGCAGGUCAGCAUACUGCGGUGAAUACGUUCCCGGGCCUU
This 204-nucleotide ribosomal RNA is filed under the name uncultured Bacillus sp. Its description in RNAcentral is "partial 16S ribosomal RNA". It matches the Rfam family "Bacterial small subunit ribosomal RNA", at positions 1180 to 1382 of the family's 1533-position model. Lineage: Bacteria; Bacillati; Bacillota; Bacilli; Caryophanales; Bacillaceae. The record is from RNAcentral.